CGUGUAGGCGGGAAGGAAAGUCAGAUGUGAAAUCCCUGGGCUCAACCCAGGAACUGCAUUUGAAACUCCCUUUCUUGAGUACCGGAGAGGAAGGUGGAAUUCCUGGUGUAGAGGCGAAAUUCGUAGAUAUCAGGAGGAACACCGGUGGCGAAGGCGGCCUUCUGGACGGUAACUGACGCUGAGACGCGAAAGCGUGGGGAGCAAACA
Molecule: ribosomal RNA, 207 nt
Filed under: uncultured bacterium
Lineage: Bacteria
Description: partial 16S ribosomal RNA
Rfam family: Bacterial small subunit ribosomal RNA
Source: RNAcentral